This 253-nucleotide ribosomal RNA is filed under the name uncultured bacterium. Its description in RNAcentral is "partial 16S ribosomal RNA". It matches the Rfam family "Bacterial small subunit ribosomal RNA", at positions 524 to 776 of the family's 1533-position model. The record is from RNAcentral.
UACGUAGGGUGCAAGCGUUGUCCGGAAUUAUUGGGCGUAAAGGGCUCGUAGGCGGUUUGUCGCGUCGGGAGUGAAAUCCACUGGCUUAACUGGUGGCCUGCUUUCGAUACGGGCAGACUGGAGGUAUGCAGGGGAGAACGGAAUUCCUGGUGUAGCGGUGAAAUGCGCAGAUAUCAGGAGGAACACCGGUGGCGAAGGCGGUUCUCUGGGCAUGUCCUGACGCUGAGGAGCGAAAGUGUGGGGAGCGAACAGG